UCAUUUGAAUUUGUCUAGCCUUACACAAAUGUUUAUAUUCUUCUUCCAAACAAGGCAAACUUUAAUAGCAGUUUAUUCUUACUGUUGUACUUUUUUUUUUUAAAGCAUCAAACUAGGGUUUGGUACAUCAUCCUCAGGCUGCAGAAGCACCUCCUGUUCCUGCCCUGGCAGGGGAACCAGCCUGUGCAGCAGGACGCAGCAUUAGCCAGCAGAGAAGGGGUCGGGUGAACAGGGGAUGGUGAACAGGGGAUGAGGGCAAAUGCCCACUGCUUGUGGAUUGACUGUGGUAAAUUGUGAUUACGUUUUCCUGAAGAGGAAAAGCAACAGGCAAAUGAAGGAAAGUCCUUGGAAUUUACAUCAACAGCACAGAACAGGCUGGGCUGGUUUCCUGCUUCUCCCUUACUGGUUUCACGCCCUGCAAGCUACAUCGUGAAGCAGCAUCGUCCAUAUCAAGCAUGUUUCUUCUUGGAGCUAAACCAUACAAGCCCAGCAAAGACAGAACUGGCACUGAAGGUAUUUAAUGAAAGGAAGACUUUGAAGACUGUUCUGUUUACAAAGUCUGAAGAUGAAUCUUCCCAAGAGAAAAAUCUUCUACAUUUUUAGACCCAUUCCAUAGCUACGUCUAAGACUGAAGCCCAGAAGUUCAUGAACAUCACCCAUGGUUGCAAGCAAUACCAGAUGAAAGCAAAACAACUUAAAGUGAAUUUCCAGCUCUCAACUACUCUCCUGAAGGUUCACCUCCCAGCUUUUAUGGAAGAACUUAAGAAUCUCCUUUACUGAAACUUAGUAUACGAUCAGAUCCUUACCAUCAAGGUAUUGAUGGUAAGCAGUAAUAAGAAAUGCGUAUGUACAGAUUAGCAGACUAAUUCUGGGAGGUGUCUGAGCACUUAACAGGACAUGUCCAAAUAAAUGAAGAUAAUGAAGUGUAAUCUGGUGAGAAGUACUAUUAUUAAGGAAAGCCUGGCCAAAGUCUUUUGAAGAAAAAAUGCCUAGUCCUACAAUCUUGCAAGAGAAACUGGAGGAAAUGCUGAGCUUUGGCAUGUGUUUCUUCUCCAUUUUCCUCCUAUGAAAUGGUCUCAUAGAUAAGUCCAAAACAAUUAUUAAACAUCCAUUGUGUGUAGCUUGCUUUGGACAGAGAUAUUGCAGCAGAAUAUGUACUCUCACACAGGCAAGAAGCAGAACUCUCCUGCUGAGUAAGACAACUAUCACAACUGCAUGACAAGUGCAGGCAGUUUCUGUACUGGUUUUUGUUCUGUUCAGAGUAAAGGUGAAAGAUGCCAACCUACAUGAAAAACGUUUGCCAGAGGUGGCUAUGAUGACAGUUACACAAAUGUCUGAUAAAUAAGCAAGUUAAUUUUACUCCAUGCAUCAGUUACAAUGAUCAGAGACGCUAUAUAUAUUUCUGGGGAAAAAAUGAAAUACCAUUGAUCUGCUCAGCUCCUCCACCAUGUGUUAAAGCUUCUGCAGGCAUAGGAAUUUUUUUUCUCUAGGUAAACUCCCCUCAAAUUUCAAUCAAGCUCGUGACUGCAGCUGAGGCAGAAGAACUUUAUUCCAAAUCUGCUGCUUUGCAUCUUUAUCUAUUUCGGUAACAGCUUCAGGCAACAGGGUUACAGACAGAACCAAAAUAACUCUCUAUAACUCUCUCUUCUGGCAAUCAGGAAUGCGUGUUCCAAAAUUUGAACUUUGUGACCGAUCACACAAGCUGCAUUCCUCACCCAUACUAUUAACUUAUUAAAAAUUAUUUACAAAUGAGAAGCACUGCAGAUUUCACAUGUGAUGUUUAACAUUCAGUAAAAGGAGGAACUGAAGUGUCUGAAUGUACCACGCCAUUUGUUAUUACCAGAUGAAAGACAAGCAUCCUUACUCUAGUCUUUGAAAUCCAAGCGUUAAUAUUUAAUCUGUCAGAAUUAACAUUCAAGUUUUUUUGAAAGCAUUCAUCUUUAUUCUCAGUGCCGGUGAGCUUACAACUACAUUUUUUCCCCUUUUUCUACGAAGUUUCUUUCAAAGUUGGCUGCAUUGAAAGGAGUAGCUGGAAGAGCUCUCAUCUGUGAUUCAGUAGAAAGGAUAAGCUACAGAGCAAACUAAAGCAUUAGGAGUUAUUACUGUAAGCCUCCAAAAUACAUUCUCCUGAUUGUCAAUUUUAAGUAAAGCUCAAACGUUAUCUAUUCCUACUGAUUUUUAAAAUGAACUCGUAAUACUGCAAAUGCCAGCAUUAUUUAAAAUGCCAGAAAAGUGAAGAGACAGUUCCACUAAAUGACAUCCUUUUAAUAAAACUUUUUAUUUACCUUCUGAAUUAAACAUAGUUUAAUCCCCGCCAUUACAUUUUGAAGCUGACAUCUGCUCAGGCAGAAGACUUCAGCUCCCUUUAUGCAGAAGAUAAUUAGCACUUAGACCAGCAGUGCAAUCUGCCUCACCCCAAGAGGUCCUAUUUGGAUACUUCGGAUUCAGACACUACCACAUCCAGACUACUGCAUGUAUUUCAGACACGAAACAUCUAAAAGUUGGGGCUUAUGGUAUAAAACAACCCUUUUCUGCUCUAACUUUUCAGUAGCGCACCUCACUGAACCAUCAGGUCUGAUCAAGCAGCAGAUCCUCUACAGUUAAGAAGUCCAAAGGUACAGUUUGCAACAUGAACAAAGUAAACUUGCUUGGUUCCAGCAUUACUGCAGCAUAAGGACCAUUUCAGCAUCCUGGGUAGAAGAUAAAAACCUUUUUACUUAACCACCACUUGAAGACAAGCAAUAACAAGAAGAAAACCCAAACCAUCUAUGUUUAGUACUAUGUAAAACAAGUUUGAAGUCACAAUUCAGUCCCAAAGUAAACAAGACCAGAGAGAACAGAUAGUAUAUAAAAAGCCUUCUUUUCUUAUGUCAAAAAAAGCAGUUUCCAAGUCCAGGUUACAGUUCACUAGCAGGGCACUGAUGUCUGUAUUGCAACCACGCUGUGAGAACACUGACUUAAAAUAAGCCUAAGUUCUAAGACAUCAGGACCGAAGAGAAAGGUUUGAAGAGAAAGGUUUUCCAAAAGCACUUUUGAAAUGCUUCCCCUAAAAGGCUAACAAGAAUUCUAAGUUAAAGUAAGGGAUUGCAUUCCUAUAGAGUGCUUCUGAAAAGUUCCCUGGUCAUAAGCAGCAUUCAACUGUAACACCAUGUGACAUGCCAACAACCAUCUUCGAGGUAGACAAAAUCUUUUUUUUCAAGCACAGAUUAAACUAAGGCAAAGUAGGAAACAGGCUCACUUUCCAAACAGAACAGAAGCCGAUUUGGGAACAGAGUUUGGGUUCAAAAAAAAAAAAAAAAUUUAACUUCUCUUAUCACUAAGCAACCCCACAGAUGGUCUAAAGCAGACACACACCUAAAUACAACACAGACAAGCCUCCACUUACACCUAGAGCUAAAACACUUAGAGACAAGCAAACAAAAGUCAGAUACGAAUACUGACAGAG
Molecule: long non-coding RNA, 3445 nt
Organism: Oxyura jamaicensis (ruddy duck)
Lineage: Eukaryota; Metazoa; Chordata; Aves; Anseriformes; Anatidae
Exons: 2
Source: RefSeq, a predicted model, not a curated record